GGGGAUAUAGCUCAGCCGGUAGAGGGCUUGUCUCACAUGCACAAGGCUCUGGGUUCAAUCCCCAGCACCCCCC
This 73-nucleotide transfer RNA is filed under the name Ictidomys tridecemlineatus (thirteen-lined ground squirrel). RNAcentral's name for it is "Spermophilus tridecemlineatus (thirteen-lined ground squirrel) tRNA". It matches the Rfam family "tRNA". Rfam says of the family: Transfer RNA (tRNA) molecules are approximately 80 nucleotides in length. Their secondary structure includes four short double-helical elements and three loops (D, anti-codon, and T loops). The record is from Rfam by way of RNAcentral. Lineage: Eukaryota; Metazoa; Chordata; Mammalia; Rodentia; Sciuridae.